RNAcentral lists this ribosomal RNA (1395 nucleotides) under Escherichia coli. RNAcentral's name for it is "partial 23S ribosomal RNA". It matches the Rfam family "Bacterial large subunit ribosomal RNA", at positions 1574 to 2925 of the family's 2925-position model. Lineage: Bacteria; Pseudomonadati; Pseudomonadota; Gammaproteobacteria; Enterobacterales; Enterobacteriaceae. The record is from RNAcentral.
GCACUACGGUGCUGAAGUGACAAAUGCCCUGCUUCCAGGAAAAGCCUCUAAGCAUCAGGUAACAUCAAAUCGUACCCCAAACCGACACAGGUGGUCAGGUAGAGAAUACCAAGGCGCUUGAGAGAACUCGGGUGAAGGAACUAGGCAAAAUGGUGCCGUAACUUCGGGAGAAGGCACGCUGAUAUGUAGGUGAAGCGACUUGCUCGUGGAGCUGAAAUCAGUCGAAGAUACCAGCUGGCUGCAACUGUUUAUUAAAAACACAGCACUGUGCAAACACGAAAGUGGACGUAUACGGUGUGACGCCUGCCCGGUGCCGGAAGGUUAAUUGAUGGGGUUAGCGGUAACGCGAAGCUCUUGAUCGAAGCCCCGGUAAACGGCGGCCGUAACUAUAACGGUCCUAAGGUAGCGAAAUUCCUUGUCGGGUAAGUUCCGACCUGCACGAAUGGCGUAAUGAUGGCCAGGCUGUCUCCACCCGAGACUCAGUGAAAUUGAACUCGCUGUGAAGAUGCAGUGUACCCGCGGCAAGACGGAAAGACCCCGUGAACCUUUACUAUAGCUUGACACUGAACAUUGAGCCUUGAUGUGUAGGAUAGGUGGGAGGCUUUGAAGUGUGGACGCCAGUCUGCAUGGAGCCGACCUUGAAAUACCACCCUUUAAUGUUUGAUGUUCUAACGUUGGCCCGUAAUCCGGGUUGCGGACAGUGUCUGGUGGGUAGUUUGACUGGGGCGGUCUCCUCCUAAAGAGUAACGGAGGAGCACGAAGGUUGGCUAAUCCUGGUCGGACAUCAGGAGGUUAGUGCAAUGGCAUAAGCCAGCUUGACUGCGAGCGUGACGGCGCGAGCAGGUGCGAAAGCAGGUCAUAGUGAUCCGGUGGUUCUGAAUGGAAGGGCCAUCGCUCAACGGAUAAAAGGUACUCCGGGGAUAACAGGCUGAUACCGCCCAAGAGUUCAUAUCGACGGCGGUGUUUGGCACCUCGAUGUCGGCUCAUCACAUCCUGGGGCUGAAGUAGGUCCCAAGGGUAUGGCUGUUCGCCAUUUAAAGUGGUACGCGAGCUGGGUUUAGAACGUCGUGAGACAGUUCGGUCCCUAUCUGCCGUGGGCGCUGGAGAACUGAGGGGGGCUGCUCCUAGUACGAGAGGACCGGAGUGGACGCAUCACUGGUGUUCGGGUUGUCAUGCCAAUGGCACUGCCCGGUAGCUAAAUGCGGAAGAGAUAAGUGCUGAAAGCAUCUAAGCACGAAACUUGCCCCGAGAUGAGUUCUCCCUGAGACUUUAAGUCUCCUGAAGGAACGUUGAAGACGACGACGUUGAUAGGCCGGGUGUGUAAGCGCAGCGAUGCGUUGAGCUAACCGGUACUAAUGAACCGUGAGGCUUAACCUUACAACGCCGAAGGUGUUU